GGCUCAGAACGAACGCUGGCGGCGUGCUUAACACAUGCAAGUCGAAACGCGAAAGGGGACUUCGGUCCUGAGUAAAGUGGCGCACGGGUGAGUAACGCGUAGAUAACCUGUCUUCAUGUCUGGAAUAAUACGCCGAAAGGGGUACUAAUACCGGAUAUUCUUGCUUUUCAUAAGUUAUGCAAGCAAAGGUGGCCUCUGCAUAUGCUACUGCAUGAAGAGGGGUCUGCGUACCAUUAGCUAGUAGGUGGGGUAAUGGCCUACCUAGGCGACGAUGGUUAGCGGGUCUGAGAGGAUGAUCCGCCACACUGGCACUGGAACACGGGCCAGACUCCUACGGGAGGCAGCAGUGAGGAAUAUUGCGCAAUGGGGGAAACCCUGACGCAGCGACGCCGCGUGAGUGAGGAAGGCCUUCGGGUCGUAAAGCUCUGUCAAGAGGAAAGAAGUGUACAAUGGCUAAUACCUGUUGUAUUUGACGGUACCUCUAAAGGAAGCACCGGCUAACUCCGUGCCAGCCGCCGC
This 519-nucleotide ribosomal RNA is filed under the name uncultured bacterium. RNAcentral describes it as "bacterial SSU rRNA". It matches the Rfam family "Bacterial small subunit ribosomal RNA", at positions 21 to 518 of the family's 1533-position model. The record is from RNAcentral.